GAUGAACGCUGGCGGCGUGCUUAACACAUGCCAGUCGAACGGGAAACCUUUUAUUGAAGCUUCGGCAGAUUUCGCUGGUUUCUAGUGGCGGACGGGUGAGUAACGCGUGGGUAACCUGCCCUAUACAGGGGGAUAACAACCAGAAAUGGUUGCUAAUACCGCAUAAGCGCACAGGGCCGCAUGGUCCGGUGUGAAAAACUCCGGUGGUAUAGGAUGGACCCGCGUUGGAUUAGCCAGUUGGCAGGGUAACGGCCUACCAAAGCGACGAUCCAUAGCCGGCCUGAGAGGGUGAACGGCCACAUUGGGACUGAGACACGGCCCAGACUCCUACGGGAGGCAGCAGUGGGGAAUAUUGCACAAUGGGGGAAACCCUGAUGCAGCGACGCCGCGUGAAGGAAGAAGUAUCUCGGUAUGUAAACUUCUAUCAGCAGGGAAGAUAGUGACGGUACCUGACUAAGAAGCCCCGGCUAACUACGUG
Molecule: ribosomal RNA, 478 nt
Filed under: uncultured bacterium
Lineage: Bacteria
Description: partial 16S ribosomal RNA
Rfam family: Bacterial small subunit ribosomal RNA
Source: RNAcentral